UAGGGAAUCUUCCACAAUGGACGAAAGUCUGAUGGAGCAACGCCGCGUGAGUGAAGAAGGUUUUCGGGUCGUAAAGCUCUGUUGUUAAAGAAGAACGUGGGUAAGAGUAACUGUUUACCCAGUGACGGUAUUUAACCAGAAAGCCACGGCUAACUACGUGCCAGCAG
Molecule: ribosomal RNA, 167 nt
Filed under: uncultured bacterium
Lineage: Bacteria
Description: partial 16S rRNA
Rfam family: Bacterial small subunit ribosomal RNA
Source: RNAcentral